GAUGAACGCUGGCGGCGUGCCCAAUACAUGCAAGUCGAGCGAACGGACGAGAAGCUUGCUCCUCUGAUGUUAGCGGCGGACGGGUGAGUAACACGUGGAUAACCUACCUAUAAGACUGGGAUAACUUCGGGAAACCGGAGCUAAUACCGGAUAAUAUUUUGAACCGCAUGGUUCAAAAGUGAAAGACGGUCUUGCUGUCACUUAUAGAUGGAUCCGCGCUGCAUUAGCUAGUUGGUAAGGUAACGGCUUACCAAGGCAACGAUGCAUAGCCGACCUGAGAGGGUGAUCGGCCACACUGGAACUGAGACACGGUCCAGACUCCUACGGGAGGCAGCAGUAGGGAAUCUUCCGCAAUGGGCGAAAGCCUGACGGAGCAACGCCGCGUGAGUGAUGAAGGUCUUCGGAUCGUAAAACUCUGUUAUUAGGGAAGAACAUAUGUGUAAGUAACUGUGCACAUCUUGACGGUACCUAAUCAGAAAGCCACGGCUAACUACGUG
Molecule: ribosomal RNA, 497 nt
Filed under: uncultured bacterium
Lineage: Bacteria
Description: partial 16S ribosomal RNA
Rfam family: Bacterial small subunit ribosomal RNA
Source: RNAcentral